Molecule: long non-coding RNA, 3351 nt
Filed under: Limulus polyphemus (Atlantic horseshoe crab)
Lineage: Eukaryota; Metazoa; Arthropoda; Merostomata; Xiphosura; Limulidae
Description: uncharacterized LOC111087643
Source: RNAcentral
AUUAUACUGUCAUUGAAAAAUUGCACUACAUUGUGAGAGGAUCAAGAUGGCUUCAGGCAGUUCAGCUCUGUGUAGAGUAGGGAAAUACCUAAAUAAGUUGACACACUCUAGAAAAACAGGACUUGUUACUAUUGGUGAUAAGGAACUGCUACAAUGGCAAUGUGGAAUUCACUUUACUGACCAGGACCAAAUGUGUCUCCAUCAUGAAAAGGUGUUUUUAUUAUGAUAUGAAAGUUUACCAAAAUACUUCUCAGCUCCAUUUUCUGUCCAUAAGAAGCACAUUACAAAGUUACUAAGAGUGGAUGAUCAGACAACAGCCCUGCAACUACACUUAAAACCUGGACAAAAGCUGUGCCCUCAAUGCUGUAAAAGAAAUGAGGAUAAAAGAGAAUGUCAUUCUGAGGUAGAAAUACUUGGUGAAGAAUAUAAACCAGUGGAAAGUUCAGUUGACUAUGUUAACAAAGCUGCCCAAUCUCACGACUUUAUACCCCUCAAAAUAUCAGUUAGUAAAUGAGAUAAAUUAUCAUACAGAAAAGCUCCACACAGCUGUCAAGGCCAAAUGUGCCCAUGCCCUGGACUUACAUAUGGGUGACUUUGAAUCUACAGAAGAUGAGGGUGAAACUAACAAUGACCUGGAUAGACUGAUUGCUCUCUUGAAAGACAAAGUUAAAGUUUCUACCAGACAGGAAAAUAUAAGGUAAUUAACCCUCACACCAGAAAACUGGACUGGGAGAAGACAAUGCAGGAGUUUGGUGUAACAAAAUAUAUGGUGAAGGUAGCUGAAGAAAAAAGGUAGCUUAGCUGAUCAUGAUAUAAAAAAAGGGAGAGGCAUUUCCCAGGCAGUGACUGACAGGACUGUGGAUUUGUUCCAGUCAUAUGAAUAUUCCCACAUGUGCCCUGGUAAGGAGGAGUAUGUCACAAUUAGGGUGAAUGAUUCUAAAGAUUAUAAAAAAAACAAUUUCAAAGUGCUUUACCAUGAGUAUACCAAGAAAAACCCACAUGAUAAGGUUGGAUUCUCUAAAUUUUGUGAAUAAAGACCCAAGUGGUGUAUUCCAGUCCCUGCAUCUGGCAUGUAUUCAGAAUGUGUGUGUGUGUGAAAAGCACCAGAAUGUCAAACUUAUAACAGCUGUUAUUUCUGGCAACAAUGACUACAAAGACAUUCUGGGAAAAAUGGUUUGCAGUACAGAAAACUGCAACUGCAUACUCCAUCUUUGUGAAUCAUGCCCAGGUAAAACUGCUGUUCAGAAAUAUUUAUCAGAUUUAUUUACUUCACACGAUUUUGACUUUUACAAUGUAAAUUGUAUACAAGCAGUGGGUUCACACUGACAGGACCAGUCUUGUGUAUCUAACAGUGUGUUCAGGAGCUCACACAGAUAGCCUAUGAUGUGUUUGAUGGUCUCUGUCAGCACCAUUUGAUUGCCAAAGUUCAAUCCAGCUACAUCAGAAAGCUGAAGGAAGAUCUUCAUGAGGAUGAGGCAGUUGUUUUACUGGACUUUGCUGAAAAUUACAGCUUCAUCGAUCAAGGUGCUCUGUAACAGGUGGCCAUAUUGGCUAGUCGUUGGACUUUAAGUCCAGUUACAAUAGAUUUAUAUGAAAUCCAGGUAUAUCGUCACUAGUGGAGUACACAAGUCACCAACUUGAGGAAGUUUACAAUAAGAAUAAAGAAUCAACUCAAGAGACUGAGAUUCAAAAUACAACACUUUAAUGCAAUAUAUUAAGAUACUUGCUACAUCGAAAUUACCAAAAGUAUCUUGGAACAUGUUAAUAUCAAAUCGAUUAAAUUCAUCAAUUUGAGCCAGUAGCUGUUCUUCAAUUAAACUUCCUAUAACAUCCAUUAAAUUACUUGACACUACCGGCAAGUCAUUAAUUAAUACAUUGAAAGAAAUCUGUUCAGAUAUAACUUAAUAUUAAGCAUAUAUCUUAAUAUCUCUCCUUGUUUUCUUAACAACAAUCUUACAUCAAAGUUUUGACUAAUCCCUUUUUUUGGAUGUUGUGUCCAGGUUAAUGUAAACUUUUCUCUGUUAUGGUGGUGUCGAUUUAUAGAUAAUGUAAACAAUAUUGUUUGGACUGUAACUUAGUUUAUACUUGACAUAAAUCCUUCCUUUCAUGGUCAAGCAUUGUUGUGUAACUUCUCGUGCAUUCAUUAGCUGUGCUCAAUUUUUCUGCAUAUUAUAUGUAUGUAUAACACACAUGACAUUUUAUGAUAUUAUAAAUUUCCUUUCCUUGAAGCAUUUGAAUAUAGUGUAAAAUACUUCAAAUGCUUCAGCUGUGCAAGGCCAUCACUGGGACUAUUCUCAAACCACAGUCCACCCAUUUGUGGUAUAUAUUACAUAAUGGAAAGUGAGUUAAAAUGCUGGAAUGUAUGUAUUAUUUCAGAUUAACUCAAGCAUGACACUGUCACUAUACAUACAUUUAUUUCAAUGAAGGUGCCAUUCAUGAAGAAGACCCCAUAUUUCAGUGAUGGGGCUGCUAGUCAAUAUAAAAACUUCAAGAAUUUGACUAAUCUAUGGCACCACAAAAAUUACAAUAGACUUGAAGCAGAAUGGUAUUUGUUUUUGCAACAAGCCAUGGCAAGAGCUCACGUGAUGGUAUUAGUGAAGCACCUAGUCGUUUGGGCCAGCUUGCAGGCAACUAACUGUGAACGACCAAAUUUUGACAGCAACUCAUAUGUUCAACUGGGCAACUGCAAACAUUCACAGAGUUGAAUUUUAUUCUGUGCCUGCUAAUGAUGUUGCAAGCAAUGCAGCAAAGUUUCAUUUGUCUGAAUGUUUUACGGAAGUGCAGACUGUUGCAAGCACCCAGUCUCAUCACUGCUUCAUUCCAGUCUCUGAAGUGGAAAUGCAGAUGAAAAGGCUCUUUGCAUAUAAUGAUUUUACCAGGGUCACUUUAGGUGAGAAGCAGUCAACAGUAAUUUCUAGUGCACUGCCUGAUUUCAUGAACCAUAAUAAUUUGCAGCUUGGAAAGUAUGUUUCAUGUAUUUAUGACAAGGAAUGGUAUGUUGCAAGCAUUGUUAAAUGUUCUGUGAUACACUGUGAUGUGUUUAGCAACUUCAUGAAGCAAUCACACACAGGAAAUCUCUCCUGGCCUCCUGCAUCACAUAAAGAUCAGUUUUAGGUGCCAUUCCAGAAAGUAAUUUCUGUGAUUAAUGCUCCUGAACAAAAUGGAUAUAGUGCUCGUUUAUAUGCUCUCUGCACAUGAUGAGGCUCUAAUUAAAAAGAAAUUGCCAGCAUUUUGAAUAUGUUGAGCUGUGAUUGCUAACAUAAUCGAAGUAUUUAUGUUUCAAUUUCUUGUCUACAUCUGUAAUUUAGUUAUUUAGUAAUUUGGAAGUAAAAAAACAUUUUGCUUCAUAAA